Molecule: unclassified non-coding RNA, 529 nt
Filed under: Hevea brasiliensis (rubber tree)
Lineage: Eukaryota; Viridiplantae; Streptophyta; Magnoliopsida; Malpighiales; Euphorbiaceae
Source: RNAcentral
ACAAAUAUCUCAAUUAUCAGAAUACCCAAAUAGUCCUUUUCACGGCAUGGGCACCUUUCAGAAGGAUUGCUACUAUGUUGAUAUUGGCUGCAAUAACAUGGAAACCAUGGCCCUGGCAACUCUGUCAGUCCCUGCAGGAGAAUUUCAGAAUCCACUCUGCGAUCCCCACGUGGCGGAAAGCAAUUGGGUUGGAUGUGAUUUUGGAGGUAACAUAUGGAGCAUGGAUGAAUUUAUGGCAAUUUAGGAGCUUACAAGAAUUGUUAAUUAUAGGAUUAAUUGUGUGAUUUUGGGACAAACAAUUGCUAAUUUUCCUACCCAAUAAUUUACAGCAACUGUUAAUUCCAUGUCUGUCUAUAAGCUUUUGUUUGAAAUCAAUCCUAUUACAAUAGCUAAAUUGGACCUAUUGAUAACAAGGGGGUGAUAAUAAUAUUAAUUUUGGAGUAAUUAAAGAUAAUUUUCUGAAUUAUGUUUGUAAUUCUCUUUCUUGAAAUUGUCAGAGAAGUGGAAUGGUGGAGAAGUUCUGGGGCGC